RNAcentral lists this ribosomal RNA (253 nucleotides) under uncultured bacterium. RNAcentral's name for it is "partial 16S ribosomal RNA". It matches the Rfam family "Bacterial small subunit ribosomal RNA", at positions 524 to 776 of the family's 1533-position model. The record is from RNAcentral.
UACGUAGGGAGCAAGCGUUGUUCGGAAUUAUUGGGCGUAAAGGGCGCGUAGGCGGUGCGGUAAGUCACCUGUGAAAUCCCGGGGCUCAACCCCGGAACUGCCUUUGAUACUGGGUAUCUCGAGUCCGGAAGAGGUGAGUGGAAUUCCGAGUGUAGAGGUGAAAUUCGUAGAUAUUGGGAAGAACACCGGUGGCGAAGGCGGCUCACUGGCUCAUUUCUGACGCUCAGGCGCGACAGCGUGGGGAUCAAACAGG